CCUGAGAGGUGGAUGGUCAAGGAACAGAGGUCCCAGGAGAGGAGGCUUCAGGAACAGAGGGAGCUACAAAUGUUUUGCAGGGACGGGUUGCCUUGGAAUAUUCCUUCUUCUGGAGAAGGUCGGCAGAAUCUAGAGCAUAUUUGUGUACAAACUACGUUAGUCACCUUGAGGAGAUUAACAGAUGACUUACCCACCCAAAUAUUCAAAGAUGGCAUGAGGGUUUGGCCCAUCGCUCUGCAGAAAGAACCUCUAUUUAAGUCCCUUGUUAAAUAUUGGCAAGAAUGCAGCUGAAUGGAGAUGCAACUGCUAGGCUGCUUAUCAUCAAGAAGGAAUGAGUGGCUCUUCAGGUGAAAGUGUUGAAUCCACUGCUAUUGUGUAGCGGGAUUCCGUCCGCUCCUCUGAACUCCUCUGCAAUGUCAUCAAACGUGCGGCCUUUUGUCUC
Molecule: long non-coding RNA, 442 nt
Organism: Girardinichthys multiradiatus
Lineage: Eukaryota; Metazoa; Chordata; Actinopteri; Cyprinodontiformes; Goodeidae
Exons: 3
Source: RefSeq, a predicted model, not a curated record